AAAAAGUUAAGUUGCAACCGUUCCCAGGGUGUUCCGUAUAAAGAUAAUGUCAUCAUAUUUUGAAACAAAGUACAAGAAGUUGGUGAAUGGGGUGCUGAUAGACAAUUGUUGAUGGAUAUUUAUAGAGAUCUGAUCAGGACAACACUUGAUUACGAGUGUAGAGUUUAUGGAACAGCGCGGAAGACUUUGCUUCAGAGGCUGGACAGAAUCCAGUAUAUAGCUUUAAGGAUGUGUAUUGGUGCAUUUAGGCCGUCGUAAAAUAAGACUAACCGAUUUGCCUAGUUAAAUAAAUAAAAUAUUUUUAAUUAUCAACAUCUGUAUAUGCCUUAGUAGUGGAGGCAGGUGAGAUACCUUUAGAAAUACGGCAUAAAAACCCAAUAAGCAUUUUCUUAAGUUGAAAGGCUGCCAUUGAACAUUGAGUUUAACAUGUCAAUAGAUUGUUGUAGCUUUGACAUGAAUGUAUAUUAGCUACUUUAAUCACAUUAUGAUUUCUGAAGAUGAGUUGAGUUUACCUUAAGGGGCAUUUACCUAGAUUUAGCCAUUUGCAGCUAUGGAGAAGAGGCAAUGCCAAUAGCCGUAUCAAUUUUCAGUCUGUGACUUGCUUCGCCAAAGCCAUCAAUAGUUGGGCGCAGUGGUCUAAGGCACGGCAUCUCAAUGCUAGAGGUGUCACUACAGACACUCUGGUUCAAUUCCAGGCUGUAUCACAACUGGAUGUGAUUGGGAGUGCUGUAGGGCGGUGCACAAUUGGCCACAAGUGUAGACUGUCAUUGUAAAUAAGAAUUUGUUCUAACUGACUUGCCUGGUUAAAUAAAAAAAACAUAUUCAGCAGAAACAGGUAUAGAACCACAUAAAUAUAGUCUGAUUUGUAUAAAAUAAUUGUCUGAAGUUGUCAUGUGUUCUGACUUCCAGCUCUAUGUGAGCCAGGUGGAGGACUUCAGAUGUGUGACUUCCAGUCUACAGCCAUCAGCUGCAGACAUGCCUGCCUCCUGGAGCCUCAGGCUAAGGCCCUCCACAAACCUCUGGCCUGUGAUCUUCUUAGAACAGUCUGGGAAAACAUUCAGACAUAAUGAUCAUCCCUACACAGUCAAGCACGCACCCAGCACUGUUGAAAUAACUCUUGCUUUCACUUGAAAAAACUUUAUAAAAAUCUGAAAACUGUUGUAAUUGUCUUGUUUAGAGAAUAUAGAUAAUAUUUAGUUUUGUCCACUCCACAGGGGAUGUUCCUGGAUGCUCUGGAGUUGUUUUCCAAGGCCUUGCUGCUGGUCAUAUCACAUGAGGAGGUCAGUGUGAAAUUCGAGGUAUUCACAUAGCUAUGUGCAUGAAAAUUAAUAUAGUUGUUACUGUCUCCACUAUAUACAAACACUUUCUUUGGUUUUAUCCAAAUAUUAUCUGCCUAAGGAGGGCAUGUGAAAUCCUUUGACCUCAGCCAUCUCUACAGACAGACACUCCUUGCACAGCCAACAGAUGGUGCUAUUCACCUAAGAUUUAAAACAAUGUUUCACGGGUGUGAACCACGGAAGUGUCUCUCUUUGCUGCUGUUGUAGCCUGGCAUGUCUGACGGCCCUGGGCCGCUAUUCUGACUGUCUGAGGCUGGUUAGUAACUGGCAUCAGGUAGACUCUGAGACCGCAGAUCUUCUCACCCUCAGAGCACGUCUCCACAAACAGCUCAACCAGGUCAGUAGUACACUCUCACACUCUGUUUCCUCGGUGUUAACGCUUGGCAAUAUCUGACAAUACCAUGCUAUAAAGAACGCAGGUGUGACGAUUUCUAGCACCAAAUGUAAUUUCAACCACUAACCUUAUGAGCUGUAACCUUUGGGAAAAAUUGCUUAUGUACCAGUUCAACACUUGUGACAUCAUUUCCACUUUUGUCCUCUCGGACCAUCUAGUGACUACCUAUAGAAAAUAUUUAAAAAGCCAAAUUUACAUGCAUUCUAAUGGAAUGACAGGACCAUUCUUCAUUAGUGAUGGGGGGAAAAAAUCUAUACAGUUACAUAUCGCAAUAUUAUUUUUGGAAGAUAUAUAGAUAUUUGACUCCCAAAAAUUGCUACCAUAGGUAGCGUUAACAAGCGCUAGUCAGCUGUGCCUCUUCCAAAACGUAAGUAUUUUUCAUCCUAUAGCUUGUUCUCCAUCUUCUUUUUAAAUAGUGAGCCAACAUGUUUUCAGCACUUUUAUUUCUCUGACGGAUCAAAACUUGUUUUCUCUUGUCUCUCUGCAGCAGACAUUUAGUGAGCAAUAUGUUUGGAACAUAAAAUCGCAAUAAAAUGUCAGUAUGGAAUCGCAAUACAUAUAGAAUCGUGAAAAUCGCAAUACAUAUCUUAUUGGUACUAAGUAUCGUGAUAAUAUCGUAUCGUAAGGUCCCUGGCAAUUACCAGGACUCUUCUCCAUACAGGUAUCACUGUGCUACCCUGAUCUGAGGUCAGCCGUGGUCCUCAGUCCAUCGUGCCUAGAGGCAGGUGCCCUGCUGGGUUAGAGGAGGCCUGUGAGAGGGCCAGGCAGCAGGCCAUCAGCAGGGCCCUGGCAGGGAAGCUCACGGAGGCCCUGUCCAAGAUCAACAUGGCCCUGGAGCAUUGCACUGAGACUGAAGAACGAUCUGGCCUUAAUAGCGAUGCACUCUUAUAAUCUCCACCCGGCACAGCCAGAAGAGGACUGGUUCCUGGUUCCUCUCUAGGUUGCUUCCUAGAUCUGCCUUUCUAGAGAGUUUUUCCUUGCCACUGUGCCUUUAAAUCUGCAUUGCUUGGGGUUUUAGGCUGGAUUUCUGUAUAGGCACGUUGUAACAUCUUCUGACGUUAAAAGAGCUUUAUAAAUAAAUCUGGAAAAAAAGAGCUUUAUAAAUACAUUUGAGCAGCACUUCCUCUUCAGGUGUUCAAAUCAAAUUUUAUUAGUCUCAUGCGCCGAAUACAACCUUACAGUGAAAUGCUGGAUUCACAAGCCCCUAACCAACAAUGCAGUUGAAUAAAUAAAUAAAAAUAUGAAUAAAAAAGAAAUGAAAGUACCAAGUAAUUAAAGAGCAGCAUUAAAAUAACAAUAGUGAGACUAUAUACAGGGGGGUACUGAUACAGCAGGUGGUCAUAAGGUUCUUGUUAGAAGCUAGAAGCUUGAUCUUGUUGACAGAGUAUUUAUCUGUACGUGUAAAGGUUCUGAUACAGCAAGCAAGAGUGUUGUGGUUUAGUUGAUACAUGCCUGGUUGAUCCCAUUUUACCAGACCAUUCUCCUCUACCAAUGAAGAGAUAUACACUGAGUGCACAAAACAUUAAAAAAACAAUCAUAAUAUUGAGUUGAACCCCCUCCCUUCUCCCUUUUCCCCUCAAAACAGUCUCAAUUCGUCAGGGCAUAGACUACAAUGUGUCGAAAGUGUUCCACAGGGACGCUGGCCCAUGUUGACUCCAACGCUUCCCACAGUUGUGUCAAGUUGGCUGGAUGUCCUUUGGGUGGUGGACCAUUCUUGAUACACAUGGGGAAACUAUUGGGUGUGAAAAGCCACCUACUUCCAUACCCCGUUCAAAGGCACUUAAAUAUUUUGUCUUGCCCAUUCACCCUCUGAAUAGCACACAUACACAAUCCAUGUCUGAAUUGUCUCAAGGCUUAGCAAUCCUUCUUUAACCUGUCUCCUCCCCUUCAUCUACACUGGUUGAAGUGGAUUUAACAAGUGACAUCAAUAAGGGAUCAUAGCUUUCACCUGGAUUCAUCUGGUCAGUCUAGGUCAUGGAAAGAGCAGUGUUCUUAAUGUUAUUUUUAGAAGCUACAAGCUUGAUAAUGUUGACACGUUUUCAGACUGAUUCCCGUCUACCAAUUUACAGUAAACAAAUGAGGAUACAUCAUCUACAUUGUGUUGCUGUGAUAUGCUCCAUAUUGUCUAUUAUCCACUAAUAUGUAGUAUUUUGCACCAUAGGGGUAUUCUGUACCGCAGGCUGAAAGACUUCACUUCUGUCAUUGAGGACCUGGUCCUGGCUGUGGAGCUGAGUGAGACUUGAGUCCAGGGGGCGGAGCCGAGCGGACACACCCAGGAAAAACUGAGGGCCGUGCAGUAGGCGGCCCAGGCCCAGCUGGUGCUCACCUAUAACGACUUUGCCGUGCCGUGCUUCUUCCCAUAGCUUCUACGCCGAGGAAACCAUGCUGCUCAGCAAGGCCGUCCAGGAGCAGAAGGAGGAAAGCGGCCUCCACAUUAACAGAGGAGACUGUUUCUUCCAGCAGGACGAGUGGGAGUUUGCCCUGGCUGACUACCAGCAGGCGGAGGAGAUGUCUCCUGAUGACCAGGCCAUCUGGAUCCGCCUCGCUGUCAUCCUCAACACCCUGGGCACACACUGCUACCAGGACUGGUGAGUCUCAGUCUGUCAUCCGUAACACUGUGUAUUGUCUUCACCGCAGGAAGUACCAUGAGGCAGCUCUGACAAGUUCUCUGAGGCCAUCAAGUACAACCCUGGAGUUAGACAGUACUAUGAGAACUGGGCCAAAGCCCCACCAUAAAGGGCCUAGCAAGAUGCCAUCAGUACCCUUCUCCUGGACCCCACUAAUGAUCAGAUGUGUUUCCCCAGAAUCUGCAGUGGGCUUGACAAGAUGACCCUGUCACAUGACACAGACACCCAGUCUGACAUCCAAUCCUCAGAGGACCAGUCUGACCAGGUGGCGGAGCCGCUUAAAGCCUGUGUGGCACCCCAGUACGUGUACAAGCAGAUCGUCAGGAUCAAUCAGCGGGUACUAGACCAGAAAAACACCCAGACACUGGGACAGACAAACUCAUCUGUGAGGUCACUUAAUAAAGCCCUUCAGUUCAAACUCUCUUUCCAUACCUCUUAUUCACAAAAUCACAUAAAACACUCAACUUAUGCUUCACCAUAGAUCAGUAUUUGUUUUAGUUGGGUCCUCCACCCGUAGAGAUUAUUGAAAGAGUCUCUCAUACUGAGCAGAGGUGCACUUCCUGUGUUGGCUGUGCCAGGUGAAGCGAGCAGUGCGAUUGGCCCUUGAACGGCGAUAGCCUCUGCAGUAUGAUGGGUCCAGUCUGGCCCCCACCCGCACAGUGGAACAGGAGCAGUCUGCACUGGUCUCUAAGGACAGGCUGUACCACUGUAGGAAGUUUGGGGGGUUUGGAGUGAAUUCCACAUAAGCAGCAACACUAUGGUGUUUACUACUCUUAGGGUGACAUGGUGGAGUGUGGCCAUAGUACUAUAGCUUGAGGUUGUCAUAGCACAACACUAUUCUCAAAUCCAACAGGUGUCAGUAGAGGCCCAGUUUUCCUUAGUUCCACCUCACCUGUUUGGAUUUACAGUCAUUUAUCCAUUAGUCUAGAUUGUCAGGGCUCAAGGAUUUUCUAAUGGGAUUGUUUUGUAUUGUUUAUGUCUAUAACUAUGAUUGACAGGCAAAUGGAGACAUGUAAAGGGCGUAUGACAAAAAGCAAGAUGUGGGCCAGUUAGAUGAAGGCAGUUCAAUGAUAUGACAGAUAGAAAUGAUGGAGAAGCUGUAGCUCUUUUGUAUACGUUAUAUUCCCUUGAGAAUUUAGUUGAAUGGCAAAGUUAUUGUGGCUUGGACCGUUUUUUUCCACAACAUUACAGUAUAUCUUUAUUUUUAACAAGAUCAUUUAGCUGUGUAAAUAUGCCUGAAAAUGAUGUUUUUUUCCCUUGCCAAAUAAAAUAAAGAUAUGUAUCAAGAUUAUA
Molecule: RNA transcript, 5651 nt
Organism: Oncorhynchus nerka (sockeye salmon)
Lineage: Eukaryota; Metazoa; Chordata; Actinopteri; Salmoniformes; Salmonidae
Gene name: tetratricopeptide repeat protein 16-like
Exons: 3
Source: RefSeq, a predicted model, not a curated record